RNAcentral lists this ribosomal RNA (253 nucleotides) under uncultured bacterium. Its description in RNAcentral is "partial 16S ribosomal RNA". It matches the Rfam family "Bacterial small subunit ribosomal RNA", at positions 524 to 776 of the family's 1533-position model. The record is from RNAcentral.
UACGUAGGUGGCAAGCGUUGUCCGGAAUUAUUGGGCGUAAAGCGCGCGCAGGCGGUCUCUUAGGUCUGAUGUGAAAUCCCGUGGCUUAACCACGGGCGGUCAUUGGAAACUGGGGGACUUGAGUGCAGAAGAGAAGAGCGGAAUUCCACGUGUAGCGGUGAAAUGCGUAGAGAUGUGGAGGAACACCAGUGGCGAAGGCGGCUCUUUGGUCUGUAACUGACGCUGAGGCGCGAAAGCGUGGGGAGCGAACAGG